AAGAGGCAUUUGAGAGAACAAAAGGCGAGGGGGACAGGGAGAAGAAAAGACAGCGGGAGAGGGAGGAAAAAAGAGAGAGGGAGAGAGGCAAGGAUCAUGGGUGAGGCUGUGAAAACAGAGAAACCAUGUGUUAUGUGACAAGAUGCUCCUCUGAAGACUGACAAUUUUACUUGGGAUUUAAGGUACUAAUCAAGAAGUCUAUAAAGGAAAAAGAUGAGUGUAUAUACACAUAUGUAUGUAUAUAUGUAUUUGUGUAUGUGCAUAUAUAUAAUUUUAAAAAAACAAAUACUAGAGCUGUAGAUGUUUGCAGGAAAGAAUAUAGUUUAGGAAGAAAUGUUCGAAAUGCUUGAAAAUGCAGUGUAAUGAAUUAACUGCCAGCUUCAACUUUUAUUCAGUAUUUCCUUGCACCUAAACAUAAUAAGCGAAGGUAGACUCUAAUGUGAGAAGAAUUUCCUUCUUGGUUGAGGAGCUCCUGAACUUGAGGAAGGGAAAGGAGAAACUGCAGAUCCCCGUUACACGAAGCCUGGGGUUGGAGCGAGCAGUGGAAUCAGUCCUCUUCCGCAUUCAGACAGGGGCACAAGCCACAGCUCUAGCUCCCUCUCAGGCAGAAGGGAGAACAUUCUGGGAGCACAGUGAGGAGAGAAGGGAUAAGGAUGAGUGAAUAAAGUGGAGAGGGAGCAGCUUCACAGAGCAUUGUUCUAAGUCCCCCCAUACUGUGCCUGUGAUUACUAUGAAUUCCUUCACUGCUGAUGGUCACAGCAAGAAGGUUGUCAAGCCACUGAAUAUUUGCAUUUGGACCAAUGCAAAGAUAGGAUGUUUCCAUCUGAAGAUUCACUUUUUAAUAGAUAACUUUACAUCUGGCUCUCAGAUCUCCAUGUGUAGCAUCAAAAAGCAUUAAGUAAAUUGCUGUGGAAUGUCUUCAGUGAAAUA
This 930-nucleotide long non-coding RNA is filed under the name Pongo abelii (Sumatran orangutan). Its description in RNAcentral is "lincRNA". The record is from RNAcentral. Lineage: Eukaryota; Metazoa; Chordata; Mammalia; Primates; Hominidae.